RNAcentral lists this ribosomal RNA (2712 nucleotides) under Eucampia zodiacus. RNAcentral's name for it is "23S ribosomal RNA". The record is from RNAcentral. Lineage: Eukaryota; Bacillariophyta; Thalassiosirophyceae; Eucampiales; Eucampiaceae.
AUAUUUAAAUUUUAAAGAUAUUAGUAUUUAUUAGCUAAAAAUUUUGCAAUUCUUACACAUUAAACCUAUUACGUAAUAAUAUUUUACGCCUUUAAAAAAAUUUUUUAAGGUUAGUUUCUCACUUAAAUGCUUUCAGUGAUUAUCUAUUACAAAUGUAGCUACUCGGCUAUGCUAUUGGUAUAACAACCGAUACACCAUAGAUUUGCUUUUCCCGGUCCUCUCGUACUAGGGUUUAAUCCUUUCAAUUUUUAAAAAUUGCGGUAGAUAGGGACCAAACUGUCUCACGACGUUCUGAACUCAGAUCAUGUACCGCCUUUCUUGGCGAACAGCCAAACCCUUGGAAUCACUUUCAAUUCCAGGAUGCGAUAAUCCAACAUCGAGGUGCCAAACCACCCCGUCGAUAAGGUCUCUAGAGGGUGAUUAGCCUGUUAUCCCCGGCGUACCUUUUAUCCGUUGAGCGAUGAUCGUUUCCACACAGAAUCACCGGAUCACUAUAACCGAUUUUCAUCCCUGUUUGAUUUGUCAAUCUUACAGUCAGGCAAAUAUUUACUAUUAUGCUUUUAAAUUGAUAUUUUUCAAUUUUAAUUUACCUUAGCACGCCUCCGUUACUCUUUAGGAGGCGACCGCCCCAGUCAAACUACCCAUUAUACACUGUUUUUAAAUAAUGAGUAAUAAAAAAUUUUUUAAGUGGUAUUUCACUUAAGUUUAAAUAGUUUUCUUGUGAAAAAAUUUACUAACAACUUCCCACUUAUGCUACAUACAAAAUUUUUUAUUACAAUAUAUAACUAUAGUAAAGGUGCACGGGGUCUUUCCGUCUAGCCGCAAUAACUCCGCAUCUUCACGGAGAGUUCAAUUUCACUGAGUUUGUAUUGGAGACAGUAGAACAGUCGUUACGCCAUUCGUGCAGGACACCAAUUAAAUGCCAAGGAAUUUCGCUACCUUUGGACCGUCAGAGUUACAGCCGCCGUUUACUGGGAAUUAGGGUCAAAGCCAAAACUUUUUCCGUUAAUCUUACAGCACUGGGCAGGCGUCAGUCUCUAUACAUCUUUUUACAAAUUAGCAGAGACCUGUGUUUUUGUUAAACAGUCGCUGUUCCCGAUUUUGUGACAACUUUAACAGGUUUCCCUAUUAAAGUUACUCCUUCUCCCUAAGUUACGGAGUCAUUUUGCCGAGUUCCUUCAAUACAAUUCUCUCAAGCGCCUUAAUUUACUAAAUUUGUCUACCUGUGUUGGUUUAGAGUACGAUACAUUAAAACAAACUUAUUACGCUAUUUCUUGAAUAAACUAAAUAACUAUUAUUUUAUCCAUUAAAUAAUAAUUAUUUUUAUUUAUUGUCACGUAAUAAAUAAUUGCAAUAAAAACCCAUCAAAUUUAUUAUUUUCAUUAAAAUUUUUAGGGAUCGAUUAACAUAACCAAGGAGGGUUAGCCUUGCCUUGGAAACCUUAGACUUAAGGCGACAAUGUUUUUACAUUGUUUAUCGCUACUCAUAUCAACAUUUUCACUUCUGAUAUCUCCAAAUUAUGUCACCAUAAUUCUUCUUAAAUUUACAGAACGUUCUGCUACCAUUAUAUAUAAAUAUAAUUUAUCGUUUCGGUAAAUAAUAUAAGUCCUUAUACAUUUUAGACACAAAAAAAUUAAACCAGUGAGCUGUUACGCUUUCUUUAAAGGAUGGCUGCUUCCAAGCCUACCUACCGGUUGUUUCGAUUUUUUUAUUUUCUUUUUCACUUAAUUAUUUUUUAGGACCUUAACGAAUAAUCAGGGCUGUUUCCCUUUUGACUAUGAACCUUAGCAUUCAUAGUCUGUCUAUUUAAAUUCUUUUAUUUUAUAUUCGAAGUUUUAUUAAAUUUGGUAAAGCUUUACGCCCCCCGUAUUUAUUAAGUGCUCUACCUUAAAAUAAAGUAUAUUUAAAUGCUCUACUUAAAUAGAUUUCGCAGAAAACCAGCUAUCUCUAAGUUUGAUUGGCCUUUCACCCCUAACCACAAGUCAUCUCAAUAUUUUUCCACAUAUACGAGUUCGGUCCUCCAAUCAGCGUUACCGCUAAAAAUUCAACCUGCUCAUGGUUAGAUCACUUAGUUUCGGGUCUUAUUUAAGAGACUAAAAUGUUUUUUAACACUCAAGUUUUUUUUGCCUACAUUAUUUUUAAUUUAAGCUCGCCACUUAAAUAAACUAGUUGAUCCAUUAUGCAAAAGGUACGUUGUUACUUUAAAAAGCUUCAACUGCUUAUCAGCAUUAAGUUUCAGGUUCUAUUGCAAAUUCACAAAUUCUAUUUCACCUUUCCUUUACAGUACUAUACACUAUUAAUCAUCAAAAAUUUUAAGACUUUGAGGGUGGUCCCCCAAUAUUCAAACAACACAUGACUUGUAUUAUCCUACUAUUAGUAAAAAUUUAUUUUUAUUUUACAGGGCUUCAUUAAAAUAUUAUGGUACCUUCUAUGGCAAUAUAAAUUUAAAUAAAAAUAUGACAUUUUUAUAGUCUUAUAUGUUGUUUUCGCUCGCCACUACUAACAACUUCUCGGUUGAUUUUUUUAUUUAGUUACUUAGAUGGUUCAAUUCACUAAAUAGUUUUAAUUAUAUAAAAAUAUAAUUUUUGCUUUUAAACAAGCACAGUUUUCUGGAUUGGAUAAUUAUAACUCUCAGCAAUAAUUACUCGUUAUAAUAUUUCGUAUGUAUACGUCCAAUUUUUUGAUGUUUAGGCAUCCUCUUAAUGCUUUAAA